RNAcentral lists this ribosomal RNA (498 nucleotides) under uncultured Flavobacteriaceae bacterium. RNAcentral describes it as "bacterial SSU rRNA". It matches the Rfam family "Bacterial small subunit ribosomal RNA", at positions 523 to 1023 of the family's 1533-position model. The record is from RNAcentral. Lineage: Bacteria; Pseudomonadati; Bacteroidota; Flavobacteriia; Flavobacteriales; Flavobacteriaceae.
AUACGGAGGAUCCAAGCGUUAUCCGGAAUCAUUGGGUUUAAAGGGUCCGUAGGUGGAUAAUUAAGUCAGAGGUGAAAGUUUGCGGCUCAACCGUAAAAUUGCCUUUGAUACUGGUUAUCUUGAAUCAUUGUGAAGUGGUUAGAAUAUGUAGUGUAGCGGUGAAAUGCAUAGAUAUUACAUAGAAUACCAAUUGCGAAGGCAGAUCACUAACAAUGUAUUGACACUGAUGGACGAAAGCGUGGGGAGCGAACGGGAUUAGAUACCCCGGUAGUCCACGCCGUAAACGAUCAUCACUCGCUGUUGGCGAUAUACUGUCAGCGGCCAAGCGAAAGUAUUAAGUGAUGCACCUGGGGAUACGCCGGCAACGGUGAAACUCAAAGGAAUUGACGGGGGCCCGCACAAGCGGUGGAGCAUGUGGUUUAAUUCGAAGCAACGCGCAGAACCUUACCAACCCUUGACAUACUCGUCGUCGCUCCAGAGAUGGAGCUUUCAGUUCGG